GACGAACGCUGGCGGCGUGCUUAACACAUGCAAGUCGAACGGAAAGGCCCUGCUUGCAGGGUACUCGAGUGGCGAACGGGUGAGUAACACGUGGGUGAUCUGCCCUGCACUUCGGGAUAAGCCUGGGAAACUGGGUCUAAUACCGGAUAUGACCUUCCUGGUAGUGUGGGGGGGGGAAGGAUUUAUCGGUGUGGGAUGAGCCCGCGGCCUAUCAGCUUGUUGGUGGGGUAAUGGCCUACCAAGGCGUCGACGGGUAGCCGGCCUGAGAGGGUGGACGGCCACAUUGGGACUGAGAUACGGCCCAGACUCCUACGGGAGGCAGCAGUGGGGAAUAUUGCACAAUGGGCGGAAGCCUGAUGCAGCGACGCCGCGUGGGGGAUGACGGCCUUCGGGUUGUAAACCUCUUUCGACAGGGACGAAGCUUCGGUGACGGUACCUGUAUAAGAAGCACCGGCUAACUACGUG
RNAcentral lists this ribosomal RNA (465 nucleotides) under uncultured bacterium. RNAcentral's name for it is "partial 16S ribosomal RNA". It matches the Rfam family "Bacterial small subunit ribosomal RNA", at positions 28 to 507 of the family's 1533-position model. The record is from RNAcentral.